AUGUAUUCUAGCUUAAUUUUUCUUCAUGUUGUCAUAGCCAUUUUUUUGCCCUUUGAAUUUGCUUCCACAUUUUAGAAUCAACUUGACAGUUUCUAAAAAAUAUUUUUGAGAUUUGGAUUGAGAUGGUACUGAAUCUGUAGCUCUGCUGAGGAGAACUGGUAUUUUAAUAUGAUUGCAUCUUCCAAUCAACAUACAAGAGAGUCUCUCUCUGCUGCCCAGGCAAGAAUGUAAAGACAUAAUGAGACGUCACUGCAUCCUCAAACCCUUUGGCUCAUGUGAUCCUCCCACCUCAGCCUCCCAAGUAGCUGGGAUUACAGGAUCUUGGAUUCUCAAUUAAUAGCCACUUUGGUAAUGCUGAAUAUGAAUAAAAUCUCUGACCUCAACAACUGCUGAAAACUCUUCUCAGUAUUUUUGAGUUUUAGCAUGAAUUUAGCUUGAAUUCUCUGCUUUUCCAUCCACCCCUCUUACAACCUAUCGAAUAACUUGAGCAGAAACGUGUUGCAGAAGAUUAAACUCACCCUAGUGAGUGUUUCUCAUUUGUAGGCUAUUGGUCAUUCAAGUCCUAGCUCUCUUGGUUGAUCUCCUGUGCCUUCAAACAGGUCCCCCCACUCCCUCAGGAGAGAUGAUAAAAUUUUUCAUGUGGGAGGAUUGUUCUGCUGCGAACUAGUUCAUCAUAAUCUGAAUCAAACUUAACAAUUCAAGAUUUGAAAUAAGAAUAUUACUUCUGUGUCACCUACUACCUUUCUUGCCUCUAAAUCUGAGUUUUUACAUUUUUUACAUUUAUAAGGCUACA
Molecule: long non-coding RNA, 793 nt
Filed under: Callithrix jacchus (white-tufted-ear marmoset)
Lineage: Eukaryota; Metazoa; Chordata; Mammalia; Primates; Cebidae
Description: lncRNA (ENSCJAG00000076858.1)
Source: RNAcentral